GAUGAACGCUGGCGGCGUGCCUAACACAUGCAAGUCGAACGGACAGACAAUGAGCUUGUUCCUCUGACGUUAGCGGCGGGCGGGCGAGUAACACGUGGAUCACCUACUUAUUUUUCUGGGAUAAUUACGGAAAACAGGUUCUAAUACCAUAGAAUAUAUUGAACCGGAGUGUGCAGUAGUUAUUUACAGUUUUUCUGUCACUAAUAGAGGAUUCCGCGCCGGAUUAGCUAGUUGGUAAGGUAACGGCCUACCAAGGCGACGAUGCGUAGCCGAGCUGAGAGGGUGAUCGGCCACACUGGAACUGAGACACGGUCCAGACUCCUACGGGAGGCAGCAGUAGGGAAUCUUGGGCAAUGGGCGAAAGCCUGACCCAGCCAGACCGCGUGAGUGAAGAAGGCCUUCGGAUUGUAAAGCCCUUUUAUUGGGAAAGAAAAGCUGUAGAUUUAUACCCCGACGUACUGACGGUACCCAAUAAAAAAGCACCGGCUAACUACGUG
RNAcentral lists this ribosomal RNA (497 nucleotides) under uncultured bacterium. Its description in RNAcentral is "partial 16S ribosomal RNA". It matches the Rfam family "Bacterial small subunit ribosomal RNA", at positions 28 to 507 of the family's 1533-position model. The record is from RNAcentral.